UUCAGGAUUCAGGAAUUUAUGUAAAUUACUCAAUAAAUAAAGAGUACCAGUACAUAAGGAAAGGGCCAGGUCCAAAAGUGACCCGGCCCAAAGAAAAUAACCAAAAUACAAUCAGACAACAACUACAUAGAUGAAAAACCAUUUUGAAAAUAUCUUUGGAAAAGCAAGAAGCUUCUUGUCCAAAAUCCUCAACUUCGGUAGAAUCUCUUCUUAACAAUCAACGUCGUCAUCAGUUAGCUCUAGAGAAUCAUCUGAAAUUUUUCUUCUAUCUUAUCAGCUAUCCGCAAUUGAAAUCUAUUCCGUUCUUCUAUCUUAACUAAUGCUUCAAAAUUUUUUUUUUAAAAAAAAACUAUUUUUUCCAUCUUCUGAAAGAUCGUUAACCUAAUUAUACUCUAGUAGAAAUUCACUAAUUUAAAUAUAUAUAUUAGUUGGCAUUUGAAAGGCUUUAAAAAUAGUGACUAUAUAUUCUGUUCGUUGUAGCAGAAUCUGAUCUUUUC
Molecule: long non-coding RNA, 497 nt
Filed under: Capsicum annuum
Lineage: Eukaryota; Viridiplantae; Streptophyta; Magnoliopsida; Solanales; Solanaceae
Description: long non-coding RNA (CANN_LNC000299)
Source: RNAcentral